CAUGAAGCUGGAAUUGCUAGUAAUGGCAGGUCAGCAUACUGCCGUGAAUACGUUCCCGGGCCUUGUACACACCGCCCGUCACACCAUGAGAGUUGGAAAUACCCGAAGCCUGUGAGCUAACUUUUAGAGGCAGCAGUCGAAGGUAGAGCCAAUGAUUGGGGUGAAGUCGUAACAAGGUAAC
Molecule: ribosomal RNA, 181 nt
Filed under: uncultured bacterium
Lineage: Bacteria
Description: partial 16S ribosomal RNA
Rfam family: Bacterial small subunit ribosomal RNA
Source: RNAcentral